Molecule: ribosomal RNA, 207 nt
Filed under: uncultured bacterium
Lineage: Bacteria
Description: partial 16S ribosomal RNA
Rfam family: Bacterial small subunit ribosomal RNA
Source: RNAcentral
CGCGUAGGCGGGAAGAGAAGUCCGGUGGGAAAGCCCACGGCCCAACCGUGGAAGAACGCUGGAAACUCUCUUUCUUGAGGGCGGCAGAGGGAAGUGGAAUUGCUGGUGUAGCGGUGAAAUGCGUAGAUAUCAGCAGGAACACCCGUGGCGAAGGCGGCUUCCUGGGCCGCCCCUGACGCUGAGGCGCGAAAGCGUGGGGAGCGAACG